UUGCAUUAAGCGAUCUUUUAUUCCCCACGUUCAUGCACACAGCACUCUAUUCUUGCCUGGGCGUCUUUCUCGCUCACAGAUUUCCUGGAGAAUCUCUGUCUCCAGGGUCAGAGUUUUGCUUUCUGUUUCUGAAGCACCUUUCAGACACGGCAAUGGGCAGCAGCCGUCUUCCGAUUCCUUUCUACAUUCAGUAAAGGACACAUUUGUCCCGAGUGUGUGUGUAUGUGAGAGAGAGAAAUAUACAGAUUCCAGGUCUCAGGCAGCAGGCAAGACAACAGGAGGUGAAAUCAACGUGGGGGCACUCAGAAAAAAAGAAGCGCCAAGUUGUGAAAAUGGUUUCCCGUGAGAGAAGGAAAUGGACUGAGGGGGAUGGAGGCGCUGUUUCCUUAACAGAGAAUUCGACAACUACUUAGCCCUUUCACUACGUGGAUGUAUAAACUGAAAGUCUGUGGCCGGCACCCCCCUGCAAUGCGUGGGUCCCGGGACCCUGCUCUUCGCAGCACUCCGUCCACAGCUCACACCCCCAGCCUGGCAGAGCCCCUCCUAUGCAGGCGGCCUGCGGCCCAGGGAACGGCUACAAGGUCCUGCUUGAGGAAUGAGCCCCUGUCACUCCUGGCGUCCUCCUUCCCCAACGUCUGCUGCCUGGGCCCACGUAACACCGGGGUCCUGCUGCUCAUCGUCUUCCUUAGAUCUCAAGCCCAGGUUCGCCAGUUGCCACUGCCUGUUCUUGAGGGCUGCACGCCGGGUCCCCAGAGUUCACGUUUCCUUGUCCUGGCCCCCAGGCAGCCCCUCCCUGGCCUGGCCCUACUCGGGCGGUUUCUCGGUGUUCCAGGUCACUCCAUGUGGGCAUCUGUGCCGUCAGUCUUGAUCACCUUAUUGGCGGGACUAAGGGGUGGCGGUGCUGGGUUCUUGAAGCCACAGGAGGCCUGAGGCUUGUUUGCCGUCACCAUAGAAACCGCGUGCCCGCACUUGGGCGGGGCCUCCGGAGGGGCGUGGUCAGAGGGGGAGCCCCGCCCCCCACCGUGCAAGGGGACGCCGGGCAGCUCCUGGACUCGGGCUCAAGCCCGCGCCCUGGGCCUCGGGAGGCAGGAGGCCCGUGGGAGGCCGCUUGGCGCUGCUAAACUGGCUGGAGGAGCUACCCCUCUGCCAGCGGUGGCGCAGUGACGGGCAGGCCACUGACGUCUGAUUCCAGAAGGGAUAAAGGACAGGCGUGGCGGGGUGAACCGAGGGCCGGCUGGAAUGGGAAGGGCCGUCUAGGGAAGAGUCGCUCUGGGCAAAGAGCCCGGCGGAGGAAUUUUGUGCAAAACUCUCGGGGAUGGGGUCACGUGGGGAGGGGAACGCACGACGUCACAAACGACCCAUUGUGGCGCAAGCGGAGCCUAGGCUGGGACUGGCCGCCAGAUCCACCUCCACCUGGGUGUAAACCUGGUUUGGGCAGAUUUCCUCCUCCGUUCUCCCCUGAAGCUGCUACCUAGAAUGGAUGACCCCACCAGCUGUGCACCACAAGUGACAUCUAACUUGGGACACAGCUCUAGCAACACUUCCACCAUGGGCAGAGAAGGCCACUGCUGCCCCUCAGCCUGCAGCCUAAGGCCACCAAUCCUGGGAGAUGGCUCCACCACCUCUGGGUUCAAAUGCUGACAAGGGGCCUUGAAGCCACAAAUGAUGAACGACACCACAAACGUUCUCACCGUGAGGUUAAGAAGACAGUCCCUCCCGGACGGAACCGACAGGACAGUAUCCAGUACUUUAAAGGGAAGACUUGACAACUGCUGCUCCAGCUGCCCUCACAGAUGUUACUCCCAAAAGGAUGAGAACCGGAAGUCGGGUUCUAGGCUUGUCCAGCCCUCUGCCACACCCAGCUCGCACCUGGGCCUGAUGCACUGGGAAACAAACAAUUCCAGGAGGGAAGCCUGCAACACCAACACUUCAGAAUUUGCUCAUUCAUCUUACCUGCCAGUUCUCCAUUUGCUAAUUCAUUUCCUCCUGCAUUAUUGCCCUGAGACUCAGAUUCCCAAUAUAGUGGAUUCAUCUAUCGAUGCAUUAGUGACAGUCUAGGACAGCAACAGGAUAGUACUAGAAAGAGCCUUCUAAGUUGAAUUAAGCAGAUUUUCCAAGUGUGCUCAUGCGGAUGAGCUUACAUCGAUAUUAUCAUCCUGGUGAGUCACAGCUCCUUCCAGACCCUUCUGAGACUUCUCCAACCACGUGAUUUCUCCACUUAGCUCCACAUACUCAGUUUGCACCUUACUGCAGUUUUCAAUUUCCUGCUGGAACUGAAAAGCCAAAAGCUGCGUUCUUUUUGUCUCAGUCUUGCUCCUGAGACACUGAGCCUCCUCUGCCCCGUCUCCCUGAACGCUCAAGAAGGGGCAGAGCAGUGGGCUGAGCCCGAGGGAAGACGAGGGUUCAUAGGAUGAAGUGGUGAGGAGUCAGCGCAGGACACAGAGCCGCCGGAGCCUCACCAGAACUGGAGUAGGUGUGCGUUGUGGAAAUGGGAGGACCAGCAGGGAAACGGGAAAUGCUUUUCCCAUCUCCCCCUUCAUUGCCCUUUCUACUCUGCUUUUCCGAGUCCAAGUCCCCACAGGCAGCAAGGGGGAAAAUAUCCCACAGAAAUCCAGGGAGAAAGACCUUUGCUUUCCAAGGACUUGUCUAGUCAACAUGCAAGAGAAAAACUCACAAUGACAGGUCCACUAUAAUGAGGAAAUCAGGAAAGGUGUUCUCAGUUAUAUAGAAAGAUUUGCACCAAAGCUCUGGCCACUUUGGUUAGGUUCAGUCUUCUGCAAAACUAAUUUCUAGAGAAUGGCUUGUUCCCAAUUAUGUGAGGUAACUGAGGGAUUGGGGCUAUCACCGCGUAUGCCCUUCUCUCUCCUCAAUUAGCAUAUUAAAUAGCACCUCGGGUAGAAAUCAAGUCCAGUACUUUGAUUAAGCACUACUGAAUGUGCUUAAGAGAUGGGAGGGUAUGGAAGAAUCUGUGAGUGGAAGACAUGAUUUCUUUUUGGCAGGGGCUGGAGUCAGAAAUCUGGCCACCAUGUGAGAAUGAGCUGUGAGUACCAAUGACGUGUGUCCGAGCGUUGGUCUCAGUGCACCCAGUACUUUGGGUUUCACGUUGUCUUGUGUAAAAUAAAUGCUACCAAAGUUUGGUGUGAAAAAUUACACACUUCUUUACAUCAGAAAGGGAUCCCUUCAUUGACUAGAAGGAUAGACAUGUUGAAAAUGUCUCAGACUUUGUAAGAACUCAGAAACACUGCAAACAAAACAAAGCAGACCAUUGGAUAGAAAUGGUCCAUUGAAUAGAAAAACACUAAAAAUAAAAAUUCUGUAGUGUUGGACAUUACAUAAUCUACAUUUCCAAAUGAAAAACUUUUUGAGCACAAUGAUACCUAAUCAAAUUAGUAAAUUUGGAAACAUAGGAAUUAGGAAAAAUAAUAAAAAAUUACACUUUGUCCCCAGUGAAUGAGUAUUUUGUGAUAUUUCCCUCCAAUGCGUGCCUCUCUCUUUCAAGAAUAAACAGCUAUA
Long non-coding RNA from Equus caballus (horse), 3513 nucleotides. The record is from Ensembl. NCBI's taxonomy places the organism in Eukaryota, Metazoa, Chordata, Mammalia, Perissodactyla, Equidae.